UACUUAUACUUAAAAAUUUUUGGAAUAAUAGUAAUUAUGAAAUUUAACAGAUUUGGCGGCAAGAUAGCUAUUUAGAGGAACCUGCCCUGUAAACGAUGAACCACGAAUUACUCUACUUUUAUUAGUUAUCAGUUUGUAUACCGCUGUUGUCAGUCAGUUUUCUUAGAAAACUUUCUAUAUGAUAAAAUCAGAUACUUCAAGUAAAGGUGCAGUUUAUGUAAAAGAUAGAGGUGGGUUACAUUUAUUUUGAUUAAAACGGAUAAAGUCUCUGAAAACACUUUUGAAGGUGGAUUUAAAUGUAAAGUUUAAAAAAACUUGAUAUUAAGCUCUAUCUUGUGUACAC
This 343-nucleotide ribosomal RNA is filed under the name Neotrevathana elongata. Its description in RNAcentral is "Neotrevathana elongatum partial 12S ribosomal RNA". The record is from RNAcentral. Lineage: Eukaryota; Metazoa; Arthropoda; Thecostraca; Balanomorpha; Pyrgomatidae.